GUGGUAUGAGAAGAUUCGAUCCUCACCCUCUCCACUCAGGCCAGAUAUUCGGGAUGCUGAUCGGGCUGACAUUCGGGCUCGGGCUCGGGCUGGGUCCGAGCCGGGCCAAAGAUAAGCUCGAGUCUGGUCCGAAAGACAAAUGGACCCUAUAUUUAAGUCUAAACCCGGUCUGAACUGUUUCGGACCUAGUCCGAAGUCCGACCCAAAGUCGGCCCGGCUCGAUGGGCUUCGGACCAGCCUAA
Molecule: long non-coding RNA, 242 nt
Filed under: Elaeis guineensis (African oil palm)
Lineage: Eukaryota; Viridiplantae; Streptophyta; Magnoliopsida; Arecales; Arecaceae
Description: long non-coding RNA (EGUI_LNC005105)
Source: RNAcentral